This is a long non-coding RNA of Saccostrea echinata, 351 nucleotides long. RefSeq lists it as uncharacterized. NCBI's taxonomy places the organism in Eukaryota, Metazoa, Mollusca, Bivalvia, Ostreida, Ostreidae. The record is from RefSeq and is a predicted model, not a curated record. The transcript is spliced from 3 exons.
CCCCAAAUAAACUUGAGGCGAACUAGGGGUCGAGUAUACUAGCAGAGGAACCGUGCGAUCUCACAAUAUCUUUUGGUGAAACCUUUUCCUUACCUCACCGUGCUCUGAAUGCAAGGUUGAAGGAAAACAUGUUCGUGGGGUAUGAAAAGAAGUCAGAAAGCAUGAAAGAACUCCUAGUAUCGUUUUCAUCGGUUGUAUAAAACCAUAUCAACACUACAUGAAUGAUUGCGUCUUAGCCAGCCAUUUUAGAAAGCCCACAGUGAACACCGCCUUCAAAUGGACGCUUAUCAACCUCUAGAGAGUGGCGAUGACGAAGAGUAAAGCUUGCAUACAGUAGCUGUUGAACAAGUU